CAGCCACAUCAUGUUCAAACACCAGUUCCCAUAUGAUUACUGAAGUUAAGCAAUGUUGAGACUAGUCAGUACCUAGAUGGGUGACCACUUGGGAAUACCAGGUGCCGUAA
RNAcentral lists this ribosomal RNA (110 nucleotides) under Acanthosepion pharaonis. Lineage: Eukaryota; Metazoa; Mollusca; Cephalopoda; Sepiida; Sepiidae. The record is from RNAcentral.